UGGGGAAUAUUGCACAAUGGGCGCAAGCCUGAUGCAGCCAUGCCGCGUGUGUGAAGAAGGCCUUCGGGUUGUAAAGCACUUUCAGCGGGGAGGAAGGCGGUGAGGUUAAUAACCUCAUCGAUUGACGUUACCCGCAGAAGAAGCACCGGCUAACUCCGUGCCAGCAGCCGCGGUAAUACGGAGGGUGCAAGCGUUAAUCGGAAUUACUGGGCGUAAAGCGCACGCAGGCGGUCUGUCAAGUCGGAUGUGAAAUCCCCGGGCUCAACCUGGGAACUGCAUUCGAAACUGGCAGGCUAGAGUCUUGUAGAGGGGGGUAGAAUUCCAGGUGUCGCGGUGAAAUGCGUAGAGAUCUGGAGGAAUACCGGUGGCGAAGGCGGCCCCCUGGACGAAGACUGACGCUCAGGUGCGAAAGCGUGGGGAGCAAACAGG
RNAcentral lists this ribosomal RNA (429 nucleotides) under Chloroflexota bacterium. RNAcentral describes it as "Chloroflexi bacterium partial 16S ribosomal RNA". It matches the Rfam family "Bacterial small subunit ribosomal RNA", at positions 355 to 776 of the family's 1533-position model. The record is from RNAcentral. Lineage: Bacteria; Bacillati; Chloroflexota.